This 45-nucleotide non-coding RNA is filed under the name Schistosoma mansoni. The record is from RNAcentral. Lineage: Eukaryota; Metazoa; Platyhelminthes; Trematoda; Strigeidida; Schistosomatidae.
AUCCAGCUGACGAGUCCCAAAUAGGACGAAACACCCAUUCUGAAU